Molecule: long non-coding RNA, 2657 nt
Filed under: Citrus x clementina
Lineage: Eukaryota; Viridiplantae; Streptophyta; Magnoliopsida; Sapindales; Rutaceae
Description: Citrus clementina (C. clementina) long non-coding RNA (CCLE_LNC003991)
Source: RNAcentral
UAAUCUCUCUUAUGGACAUCAAGUGCACAACUGUGGACACUAUAGUACUUUGUGAUUUUAAACAUAUUCAAACUUCAUAACUUCAUAGCACGAAGUCGCCACUUACAAGUAUCGUCAAUACACUUAACAAUAAGUAUAUUCUUCCCUGACUUUAAAGGUUUUAAACUCAAAAAUUUUCCUUAGAGCUUCCAUAGAAAGCACUUUUUGCAACUCUUCUUUCAAACUGAACAACUUUUUCCCCAUUAACCAAUCACUAUCACCAACAACUUUCAUAGAUGGCAAGUUAAUAGUAUUAGAAUGCAAGUUAUCAUUGUCGAAUGAACUGUUGCAUGCAAACAAAUUAACUCUAAGCAUAUAUCUAUUAUCGGGGGGGGGGGGGUGGGAAACUCAUAUUGGAAGGUGCUACAUUCCCUAUUGUUGGAUCAUUAAUUGUUAUCCCAUCAACAUUAUCAUGAACAAUAACAUUCACAUUUUCCUCAUUUGGCCCUCUUCUAUCAUUGGGCUGUGUUUCAGGAACAAAUUCGAAUAUUGACUUAUCUUCAGCAACAAUAUUGUUUGGGCUUAAACAUUCACCUUCAACAUAUGGCUCAACAGGUUCUUGUGGACAACUAUCCGGCCCGAAGUUAGGGUCCACAUGAGUAAUGGGGAUCACCAAAAUCUAUUUACUUUGGUAGGUAAUGCAAAGAGGAAUCUUUAACUCAGCUCCACUGAUUGUUUCCUCUAGAAAAUAAUCUACAUCAUCAUCAUUCAUAAUUAGGACGGGCGGUAUUGGAUUAAAUGUUUUGAGCUUGAACUUCAUUUCAAUGUCAAAUUCAGAAAUAUCAAUACAAAUAACCCGAGAAACUCUUUCUAUCAAUUGUGCAUACGUUGUAGAACGGGGCACCAUGAUCCCUCUUGCCUCCGUACCAUUAAAUCUAUAAUGGUCGUUUUGCUCAAUCCAUUCACCACAAAACAUAAUAGGCACACGUACUGAAUUCAUUUCCUGCAAUAAAUACAAAAACAAAAUCAAACAAGGUAUAUAACGAAGUGUGUGUCUGCCUAUUUAUACGACUGACGUCGUGUAAUUGCUAGUUUACACGACAAUAGUUGUGUAACUUGCUAAAAUACACAACUAUAGUCCUGUAAACAGCCAGAUAAUAUAUUUAGUAAAAAAAAUUGUAAUCUUUGUACUAAUAGAAUGCUAGGUGUCAUAAUAGCUACUAUAUCUUUCAAACUUGCACGAUUGCUGUCGUGUAAAUUUAUACAUACAUGAUAGAAGUCGUGUAAGUUGCAAAAAAACAUGACUUAGUAAAUAGUCAGAAGACAUAUUUUUUCUUAAAAAAAUAUUUUUCUUGCACUGAUAAAAUGUUGGGAUCUCAUAACAAUUGGAACAUUUUACAUAUAUACACAAUUAUAGUAUGUAAGUUCAAACAUACACAAUAGUAGUCGUGUAACUUAUUAAAACACACGACUAUAGUCCAGUAAUAGUAAAAUGAUAUAUAUAGUGAAAAAUAUAUAUUUUUCACUAUAUAAUGAUAAGGUGUCAUAAUAAUUGGAAUCUUUUGCACAUUUUCACAACUACAGUCCGGUAAAUCUAUACAUACAAGACUGUUGUCAUGUAUGUCGGGUGCAGAAAAAAAUUUUGGCAACAACUUCAGGUUUUAACGAAUGUAGUUAUAAAAUCAAUCAAAUAACAGUCAUAUGAUACAAAUGUAAUGAAAAUAUGAGUUGUUUUAUUGUUUAUCACAAACCAAACAAAACCCUAAAAAUAAUAUAAUGUCAAUAAAAUGAAUAAAUAACACAAAAUAAAAAAAAAAGUUUCAAAUACCUUAUUCAUGAGAUGAAUAAUGCACCCAGCUGCAAACUAAAAUCUCAGUGCAUUGGCUGUUCGUGAGUGAUUUUGAGUGUGUAGUGAGUUUUUGUUAUGUAGAGUUAAAAAGAGUGAGAAGUAAAGAAUGUUGGAGGUGUGUUGUGUGUGUUUUAUAUUUUUCUUCAAGGAUAUUUUAGACAAUAUAUUACAUAAAAAGAUAAAUCUAGAUAAUUUUUAAACAUGAAGUAUAUUUAACUAAAUACCAUAUUUUUAAGACAUCUUUAAUUAAAAACCCCCCAGUUUUGUCCCAAAAGCGAAGAAAAAUGAAACAAAACAUUUAAAUAUGGAAGAGAGGAAAAGAGAAAAAAUAAAAUCAUCAUCAAUUUAUAAAUAAACUAUAAAUAAAAAAAGCAAGUAGGGAGUCAAAUGAUAAAAGACAAAACAAUAGUAUCGUGCAACAGUACAUGCUUUCUAAAAAGAAUAAAAUAAUACAUAAUUAAAUAACUAAUCACAUCAAAUCAAUGUCGCUUGUCGUUGGCGGUCACAUUUUGAUUAUAUAUAUAUUUAAAAUGUCAAAAAAGUUAUUCGACUUUAACAGGUUAGUAAGUUCGGGAACGAAGCCUGAGCAUCAGAUCAUAGCAUGAUAUUAAAUAAAUGACACAAAUAAAAUGCAUUUAAGAAUUGUGUCAAUUUUGGCAACUAUAAACUGAUUUUUUUUUUGGGUUUCAAAAUCGCACUAGAUUCAUAAGCCUUGUCAAAAAUUACCCCUAAAUGCGUACAAAUUUUGUUAGCAUAUUGCUGUUCAUUAAUAAAAAGAAAAAGAAAAAUUAUCAGCGUCUGCAGUCCAUUCUAAAUUUAUUCUAUUAUU